This is a long non-coding RNA of Sebastes umbrosus (honeycomb rockfish), 337 nucleotides long. RefSeq lists it as uncharacterized. The record is from RefSeq and is a predicted model, not a curated record. NCBI's taxonomy places the organism in Eukaryota, Metazoa, Chordata, Actinopteri, Perciformes, Sebastidae. The transcript has 3 exons.
UCCCUACAGACUGCAGAUCUACUGUCGCCAAAUUGUAAUAUGAAAACCAAUGAUUAAUCUACAGCAGAGGAGUUUCCAGCUGACAGAGAGAAGACCAACCGGAGAGGACAAAGCACCAAAACAAAGAGAUGAUCAGACAAAAGGCCACUAGCAGACACUCACAUGUCCAAAGGUGGAGGUUUUGUGUUCUGUCAGGCGGUUCUCGUGUCCACAAGAUGCUCUCCACUGUCAACCAGUUGGUCCUGGAACGCACACAUGAAUCCACCUGCAGGAGGAUGGGGGAGCUCGGCAAAUUGAGGUCAGGAGACUUAAAGCUGAGUUUGAUGAGAAGAGGAUU